CCUACGGGAGGCUGCAGUCGAGAAUCUUCGGCAAUGGGCGCAAGCCUGACCGAGCGACGCCGCGUGGAGGAUGAAGGCCUUCGGGUUGUAAACUCCUCAGGGGAGGAAGCCCUAUCCCUGGAGGAAGCACGGGCUAAGUUCGUGCCAGCAGCCGCGGUAAGACGAACCGUGCGAACGUUAUUCGGAAUCACUGGGCUUAAAGCGCGUGUAGGCGGAUGGGGACGUCGGUGCUGAAAUCCCCCGGCUCAACCGGGGAACGGGCACCGAAACGCCCCGUCUGGAGGGACGUAGGGGGACCUGGAACUUCCGGUGGAGCGGUGAAAUGCGUUGAGAUCGGAAGGAACGCCCGUGGCGAAAGCGAGGUCCUGGACUUUCUGACGCUGAGACGCGAAAGCUAGGGUAGCGAACGGGAUUAGAUACCCUUGUAGUC
Molecule: ribosomal RNA, 430 nt
Filed under: uncultured bacterium
Lineage: Bacteria
Description: partial 16S ribosomal RNA
Rfam family: Bacterial small subunit ribosomal RNA
Source: RNAcentral